This 3486-nucleotide long non-coding RNA is filed under the name Helianthus annuus (common sunflower). RNAcentral describes it as "hypothetical non coding rna". The record is from RNAcentral. Lineage: Eukaryota; Viridiplantae; Streptophyta; Magnoliopsida; Asterales; Asteraceae.
UGGUUCUUCGUUCUCCUUCUCUUAAACUCUGUCGCUCCAUAACCCUAACUCUCAAUUCGCCAUGGAGGAUGCCUAUCUGACCCGUGUAUGUUGACCCGCUAUAUUUUGACUCAUCUACGUUAUUUUCCAAAACCCUAGACAGCCUUCCUUUCCAUUCUGCUUCAUCUCCAUUCUGGUUCACGCAUAUGCAUUCGAACGAUUCAAGCAUCAGUUACUAUGGAGAAAUCAGAGUCGGUGGUAGCCAAAACAAGAGAGGGACGUAGAUUUUGACUGGUUGGAAGAUAGAGAAAAGAAGUGGGUGAUGGUGGAUUCAAGCGAUUCUGUAUUUGUUGAUAUGGAAACGAUUUAUCUUGGUGGAAAGAUAGAUAUGGAGUAAGGACUAAAGCCGGUAAGAAACAAUCAUCAGAAGAUGAAGAUGCUGGUGUCAAAAUAGCACAUUCUGCAGGAGCUUCAAUUCGACGACACAAUGAACUUGCCUUAAAUAAGUGGGACAGGUAAAAGAGCUAUAUGAUGAAAUAUGACUUCGUUCACCUCACUGAGCGGUGGAUGCAGUUAGACUAUGAUUUGUAACGCAAGUGUGUGGAGGUGACUUCACUGAGCGGUGGAUGCGGUAGUAUUGUACAUGAACGAACUUCAUGAGAAGAAGGAUGAGAAGGUUCAACCAGUCAAAAAGAAGAAAUCAUGGACUCAAACUUUCUUUUCAAUGUCUAACAAACGCAAGCGGAUCACCAUGACUAACUGAACACGUAACUUGCACGAGUGUCAAACCGUCAAUGAGUUUUUAUGAGAUGCUGAGCUGUCAUGGGCUGGAACUAUGAACAAACCUAAGUUCUUCAAGUAUGCUUCCUCUCAUUCCCUUUAUAGACAUAAUUUAAUACUGUAUUGUUAUUAUUAUCAUUAUAUCUUUUUAUUUUUUUGAUUAAUUAUUUUAUUUAUCGUGUAACCGGAACUGUAUGUUUGGUAAAUACCAAAGUAGAUGAUAGUAACAGUGAAUAAAAUGAAAAUUAUGUGUGAUUUACACGUUAGCAAUCCUGGAACUGUAUGUUUGUAUUAAUAAGAAAUAGUAAUUAAUAUAACUAAGUUUCCCGAGCCCGGGAAGCAAUCCUGGGUAACAAAGUUUGUCCAUUCGGUCUAUAUUUUUUAGGUUGAUUUACGGUGUUAUUUUGAAAUAGACAAGUAUUAUUUCUUUUUUGAAUUAUGAUUGGACAAUAAAUUUGGAUGAAAUUUAAUAGCAUCAACAGAAUUCUUCUUGCGCCAAAAUAGAGAGCCACUUCCUGAUAAUUAUAUUAUUUAUUAUAUAAAUAGUAUAUACUGACUAGAUCUUUUUUUGAAUUUCUGUAUAUUAUAAACAUGAUUUAGUUUGUUGAUCUAGAGAUACCAUUUUAUGAACUUUUUAUCCCACGUGUAGGUUCAGCUAAUGUCAACUACAUAUCAGUAUUAUGCAUAUUCUUUAGUAAAACAAUAAGACUCAUGUUUAUUGUAUUAGUUUCUGAAUUGUUAUGCUUCAUCCUAAAUGGUUGGAUGUCUCUCAUUACUUCAAUAUGUAUUCAUCAUAAUUAUCCGAUUUACCCUAAAUCAAAGUGUUUUUCUUGAUCAAUUUUGUGUUGAAUAUGUUUUUUUUUUGUUUUUGAGUUCUGUGAAAUCAGUACAUUACAAGGGGCUUUCGAUUGCAGAUGAAGGAAGGUAGAGGUGGGAGGACAGCGCGAUGCAUGCAAAGAACCAGAUGUUGAUACUGGAAUCCCGUUUAAAGCUGAUGCAAUGAUAGCCAAUCCCCCAGCAUAUAUGGCCUACAAGCGAAUUUCCUCAUCCUCUAUCUCGUGUCAAGCAACCGGCUGGUUAUAGACCGUCAUAUCAAAUAGUUGACUCUUUGAUUUGGCUUGGAAUUCGGGACAUGAUAAAUGAUUUUAGGAAGAAAAAGUUAAAGUUGCGGCCUGUCGCCUGUCACAUAUUUAAGUGGCUCUCAAGCCGAAAGGUGAUUUGCAUGCACUCUUUUUUAUACAUUAUUAGUUUAGUUAAAGCUGGUUUAGGGUAUUCUAAAACCCCGGUGUUUUGCUUAAUGAUUACCCCGUCGAUCUUUUCCUUUUAGACUGUAGUUUAGAUGAUAAGGCCACAUAGAGCUGGGCUUGCACAAUCAAUAUGAACUUCUUUUGUUGAAAACAGGUCCAAUGGUAAUUAUCAUUAUCAUUAUAAAAGAGGUGUCCACAACCUCUAUUUUUUUCAUAUUUACAACAAUGCCAUCCAUGGUUUUUUUUCUUCUUUUUGUGUAUUCGACCCUUCAAGUUUUAGCAUUGCCACUUACACUCCCUAAGUUUUCUAAAUACUUCGUAAAAUGUCAUUUUGAUCCCCCUCGAGAAUUACGUGCUUAUUUUUAUGCACGUGGGUCAAAUAUAAUAAAACGUUUUCUUGCUUAUUUUUAUGUACGUUUUUUUGUUGAUCUACGGUUUGUUUGGAAACGAGUCGGGUCAGAUAUAAUUCGUUUUUACUAGGUAGUAUAAAUUCGAGUUACUUUACGUUUCGACUCCGCUCCAACGCGUGGAACCAUUUUUUAACGUUAAAAACACUAUUUUCUUACGUGCUUAUUUUGAAGUACAUUUCGUUAUAAAUCUAAGUUGGGAAACGUUUCGACGUAAAUUUUCUCGGUAAUGAGUCAAGUUAGGUCAAAUGUUAUACGUUUUCGUGCUUAUUUUCAUGUACGUUUUCAGUUGGUCUAUGUUUUGACGUAAAUUUUGUUCGGAACGACUCAAAUAUUAGACGGUAUAAGUUUGAGUUACUUUAAGUUUCAACGCCGCCGAAACGCGCGGCGGGUCAAAGUACUAUUUAUAAUUAUUAGCUGAAAGUGAAACAUGUAGACAUAUUUAACAGGUUAAACGGGUCAAGAGGUUCUAAACAUGUAUUAAUUUACGUCCUAGAUUGUUUUCUUGAUCAAUUUUGAAACCUUUGUUGGUGUUGGUUGUUGCUUUGCACCAAGGAAUAUUGAUGCUUCAAAUCAUGGUUUGUGUUUACUGUUACAACGAGAUAAGGCCUUGACUUGUGAUUGCUGUUGCAAAGGGAUUAUUGUAAAAUGUGACAAGUAAAAUGUUAAAAUGGUCCCUGAGUUUAGGCCCUUUUCGUCACUUCAGACCAAAAAAUGAAACUUUUUGUAUCUGGGUCCCCCUUUUUGACGUUUUACACCAAGUAUCAACCUUAAUCAUCCUUUGAUCGGGUAGGUUUUCAACCUUAUAUAUGUUAAGUUUUUUAUUCAGCUAAGAUUUCGUGUUUUAUUAUGCAGAUAUGCAAUGAUAAAGAUCAAGCAAAUUCAUGGUUUCGUGGCUUAAAACUGUACUUUACUCGCUUUGUUUUUUUUUUUUUUAAAUUAAGGAAUUUUGGCUUGAGUUGUAGUCAUAUAAGUUUAAUAAAUUUUGGCCUUAUUAAGUUUUUAAACUAUAAUUUGUUUAACCAAGUGAUAUUAAGCCGAUAAUAAUUGAUUUUGUUAUGUUUCAUGUUGAC